AGUGAACGCUGGCGGUAGGCCUAACACAUGCAAGUCGAACGGCAGCACAGUAAUAGCUUGCUCUUACGGGUGGCGAGUGGCGGACGGGUGAGGAAUACAUCGGAAUCUACUUUUUCGUGGGGGAUAACGUAGGGAAACUUACGCUAUACCGCAUUCUACCUACGGGUGAAAGCAGGGGAUCUUCGGACCUUUCGCUAUUUAAUUAGCCGAUUUCGGAUUAGCUAGUUGGCGGGGUAAAGGCCCACCAAGGCGACGAUCCGUAGCUGGUCUGAGAGGAUGAUCAGCCACACUGGAACUGAGACACGGUCCAGACUCCUACGGGAGGCAGCAGUGGGGAAUAUUGGACAAUGGGCGCAAGCCUGAUCCAGCCAUACCGCGUGGGUGAAGAAGGCCUUCGGGUUGUAAAGCCCUUUUGUUGGGAAAGAAAAGCAGCAGGUUAAUACCCCGCUGUUCUGACGGUACCCAAAGAAUAAGCACCGGCUAACUUCGUG
RNAcentral lists this ribosomal RNA (491 nucleotides) under uncultured bacterium. RNAcentral describes it as "partial 16S ribosomal RNA". It matches the Rfam family "Bacterial small subunit ribosomal RNA", at positions 29 to 507 of the family's 1533-position model. The record is from RNAcentral.